Molecule: long non-coding RNA, 604 nt
Organism: Otolemur garnettii (small-eared galago)
Lineage: Eukaryota; Metazoa; Chordata; Mammalia; Primates; Galagidae
Exons: 2
Source: RefSeq, a predicted model, not a curated record
CCCAAGCAGCUGGGACUAUAAGUGCAUGCCAUCAUACCCAGCUUGUUUUAGACUUUUAGGACAGUUUUUAUUUUGACUAUUCUCUGGAAGCAUUGAAAUUUUUGAGAUGAACUUGGUGUGAGAAAAUCUGACAGCUCAUACCGCACUAAUAAGGGUAUUCUUAUUGACAUUAGCUCGGAGAAAGAUGACAUAAUGUUUGAGACCAGGUACUUGUAGUAACCCCUUGCUCUGUGGCCUCUCUUCAAUUCAGGGAAGCUACCUCAGACCUAGAGAUUGUGAUGGAAGCCCCAGGGAUGGAAGCCCGACCCUCUCAGGAUGAUGACCUGGGAGUCUAGCUUCCUGGGAGGGGCCUCCUCAGAAGGGGAAGCCCUGGGACCCUGGGAACUUGAGGUCCAGAGAGGGAGACCCUUCAGCUGGCUCAGCCUGCCCAACUAUGCCAAAGAGUACCAUGAUCCGGGAAGACUGGUUUUCUCUUGUCUCAGCCAGCCUCAAUGUCCUUCCGCCUACUCCUGGUUUGACUUUUGAGGACCAAGGGUUCCUGUUGAGGUUUUCUGCACUGUGCACCAUUGUCCUCUUACUUACCUCAAUAAAUCUGUAAACAUGU